Molecule: long non-coding RNA, 494 nt
Filed under: Homo sapiens (human)
Lineage: Eukaryota; Metazoa; Chordata; Mammalia; Primates; Hominidae
Description: mir-100-let-7a-2-mir-125b-1 cluster host gene
Source: RNAcentral
GGGGCUGCGGAAUUUUGGAAGCGCAGAAGUUUUCUCCUCCUGUCCUGUAACUGGUUUUCACUCACUCAACUGAGAGAUUUCUUUGUUGCAAUGAUGGGGUCUAAGAUAACACUUCUGGAGGCUGCAGGCGAGAAACACAGCUGAUAUCAUCUUUUAUUGUGUGUUGUUAUUUGCCUAGCAUUAUAAAUUAAGGAGGAAUAGUAACAAAGAGCUUGAAGACAUGCACAGCUCACAGGCCCCGGGUGGAGGCUGGCGACAUCAGACAGACAGAACCAAGACAUCUGAGGGGCAACCAGGAGGUGCGUGUGGCUGCAGAGCACACAGACUUGUCUUUGGACAAAAUUGAGAAGAACUCAUAAACUUGGCUUCCUCGCUUCUGCUCCUCAGCUGGUCCUAUAGUACCCCUCCUCAGGAAUGUCUCCCCAGUGCAAGGACAAAGACUGAAGAGACUGCUAUAUUGAUGGACUCUCAAGCCAACUAUGAAGUUGAAACAA